UCUACGGGGUGCAGCAGUCGCGAAACUUUUGCAAUACACGAAAGUGUGACAGGGUUAUCCCGAGUGCCGUCCGCUGAGGAUGGCUUUUACUCAGUUUAGAAAGCUGGGGGAAUAAGGAGAGGGCAAGUCUGGUGUCAGCCGCCGCGGUAAUACCAGCUCUCCGAGUGGUGGGAUGAUUAUUGGGCCUAAAGCAUCCGUAGCUGGCUGGGCAAGUCCCCUGUUAAAUCCACCGCCUCAAUCGUUGGUGUGCGGGGGAUACUGCUAGGCUAGGAGACGGAGAGGCCGACGGUAUUUUCGGGGUAGGGGUGAUUCCUUAUCCCGGAGACCACCAGUGGCGAAGGCUGUCGACUAGAACGCGCCCGACGUGAGGAUGACGUAGCUGGGGGAGCGAACCGGAUUAAUACCCCCGUAGUCC
RNAcentral lists this ribosomal RNA (415 nucleotides) under uncultured soil archaeon. Its description in RNAcentral is "bacterial SSU rRNA". It matches the Rfam family "Archaeal small subunit ribosomal RNA", at positions 322 to 747 of the family's 1478-position model. The record is from RNAcentral.